RNAcentral lists this ribosomal RNA (479 nucleotides) under uncultured bacterium. RNAcentral's name for it is "bacterial SSU rRNA". It matches the Rfam family "Bacterial small subunit ribosomal RNA", at positions 364 to 833 of the family's 1533-position model. The record is from RNAcentral.
UUUCGCAAUGCCCGAAAGGGUGACGAAGCGACGCCGCGUGCGGGAAGAAGGCCCUCGGGUUGUAAACCGCUGUCAGGAGUUAAGAAAUAUAGAGAUGUUAAUAGCGUCUCUAUUUGACGAAGGCUCCAGAGGAAGCCACGGCUAACUCUGUGCCAGCAGCCGCGGUAAUACAGAGGUGGCAAGCGUUGUUCGGAAUUAUUGGGCGUAAAGAGCACGUAGGCGGCCCUGCAAGUCAGUUGUGAAAGCCUUCCGCUCAACGGAAGAAUGGCAGCUGAUACUACAGGGCUAGAGUACGGGAGGGGAGAGUGGAACUUCUGGUGGAGCGGUGAAAUGCGUAGAUAUCAGAAGGAACGCCGGCGGCGAAAGCGACUCUCUGGACCGAAACUGACGCUGAGUGUGCGAAAGCUAGGGGAGCAAACGGGAUUAGAUACCCCGGUAGUCCUAGCCGUAAACGAUGGGCACUAAGUAGAGGGGUUUUA